RNAcentral lists this ribosomal RNA (444 nucleotides) under Clupea harengus (Atlantic herring). RNAcentral's name for it is "partial small subunit ribosomal RNA". It matches the Rfam family "Bacterial small subunit ribosomal RNA", at positions 7 to 794 of the family's 1533-position model. Lineage: Eukaryota; Metazoa; Chordata; Actinopteri; Clupeiformes; Clupeidae. The record is from RNAcentral.
CAAAAGUUUGGUCCUGGCUUUAAUAUCAGCUUUAACCCAAUUUACACAUGCAAGCCUCCGCAGCCCCGUGAGAAUGCCCUCAAUCCCCCGUCCGGGGACGAGGAGCCGGUAUCAGGCACAUAAAUUUAGCCCAAGACGCCUUGCUUAGCCACACCCCCAAGGGAAUUCAGCAGUGAUAAACAUUAAAACAUAAGUGAAAACUUGACUUAGUCAGGGUUAAGAGGGCCGGUAAAACUCGUGCCAGCCACCGCGGUUAUACGAGAGACCCUAGUUGAUAUAUUCGGCGUAAAGAGUGGUUAUGGAAAACAAGCACUAAAGCCAAAGAGCCCUCAGGCCGUUAUACGCACCCGGGGCCUCGAACCACUAUCACGAAAGUAGCUUUACCCUCGCCCACCAGAACCCACGAGAGCUGGGACACAAACUGGGAUUAGAUACCCCACUAUG